AUUGAACGCUGGCGGCAGGCCUAACACAUGCAAGUCGAGCGGAUGAAGGGAGCUUGCUCCUGGAUUCAGCGGCGGACGGGUGAGUAAUGCCUAGGAAUCUGCCUGGUAGUGGGGGAUAACGUCCGGAAACGGGCGCUAAUACCGCAUACGUCCUGAGGGAGAAAGUGGGGGAUCUUCGGACCUCACGCUAUCAGAUGAGCCUAGGUCGGAUUCGCUAGUUGGUGGGGUAAAGGCCUACCAAGGCGACGAUCCGUAACUGGUCUGAGAGGAUGAUCAGUCACACGGGAAGGGAGACACGGACCAGACGCCUACGGGAGGGAGCAGUGGGGAAUAUUGGACAAUGGGCGAAAGCCUGAUACAGCCAUGCCGCGUGUGUGAAGAAGGUCUUCGGAUUGUAAAGCACUUUAAGUUGGGAGGAAGGGCAGUAAGUUAAUACCUUGCUGUUGUGACGGUACCAACAGAAUAAGCACCGGCUAACUUCGUG
Molecule: ribosomal RNA, 484 nt
Filed under: uncultured bacterium
Lineage: Bacteria
Description: partial 16S ribosomal RNA
Rfam family: Bacterial small subunit ribosomal RNA
Source: RNAcentral